UACGGAGGAUUCGAGCGUUAUCCGGAUUUAUUGGGUUUAAAGGGAGCGUAGGCGGGUUGUUGAGUCAGUUGUGAAAGUUUGCGGCUCAACCGUAAAAUUGCAGUUGAUACUGGCAUCCUUGAGUACAGUAGAGGUAGGCGGAAUUCGUGGUGUAGCGGUGAAAUGCUUAGAUAUCACGAAGAACUCCGAUUGCGAAGGCAGCCUGCUGGACUGUAACUGACGCUGAUGCUCGAAAGUGUGGGUAUCAAACAGG
RNAcentral lists this ribosomal RNA (253 nucleotides) under uncultured bacterium. Its description in RNAcentral is "partial 16S ribosomal RNA". It matches the Rfam family "Bacterial small subunit ribosomal RNA", at positions 524 to 776 of the family's 1533-position model. The record is from RNAcentral.